This 2412-nucleotide ribosomal RNA is filed under the name Listeria monocytogenes. RNAcentral's name for it is "partial 23S ribosomal RNA". It matches the Rfam family "Bacterial large subunit ribosomal RNA", at positions 408 to 2818 of the family's 2925-position model. Lineage: Bacteria; Bacillati; Bacillota; Bacilli; Caryophanales; Listeriaceae. The record is from RNAcentral.
CUGAGUACGGCGGAACACGUGAAAUUCCGUCGGAAUCCGGGAGGACCAUCUCCCAAGGCUAAAUACUCCCUAGUGACCGAUAGUGAACCAGUACCGUGAGGGAAAGGUGAAAAGCACCCCGGAAGGGGAGUGAAACAGUUCCUGAAACCGUGUGCCUACAAGUAGUUAGAGCCCGUUAAUGGGUGAUAGCGUGCCUUUUGUAGAAUGAACCGGCGAGUUACGAUUUGUUGCAAGGUUAAGCGGAAAAAGCGGAGCCGUAGCGAAAGCGAGUCUGAAUAGGGCGCAUAAGUAACAGGUCGUAGACCCGAAACCAGGUGAUCUACCCAUGUCCAGGAUGAAGGUAAGGUAAUACUUACUGGAGGUCCGAACCCACGCACGUUGAAAAGUGCGGGGAUGAGGUGUGGGUAGCGGAGAAAUUCCAAUCGAACUUGGAGAUAGCUGGUUCUCUCCGAAAUAGCUUUAGGGCUAGCCUCGAGGUAAAGAGUCAUGGAGGUAGAGCACUGUUUGGACUAGGGGCCCUUCUCGGGUUACCGAAUUCAGAUAAACUCCGAAUGCCAUGUACUUAUACUCGGGAGUCAGACUGCGAGUGAUAAGAUCCGUAGUCGAAAGGGAAACAGCCCAGACCACCAGUUAAGGUCCCCAAAUAUAUGUUAAGUGGAAAAGGAUGUGGGGUUGCUUAGACAACCAGGAUGUUGGCUUAGAAGCAGCCACCAUUGAAAGAGUGCGUAAUAGCUCACUGGUCGAGUGACCCCGCGCCGAAAAUGUACCGGGGCUAAACAUAUUACCGAAACUGUGGAUGAACCUCUUUAGAGGUUCGUGGUAGGAGAGCGUUCUAAGGGCGGUGAAGUCAGACCGGAAGGACUGGUGGAGCGCUUAGAAGUGAGAAUGCCGGUAUGAGUAGCGAAAGAAGGGUGAGAAUCCCUUCCACCGAAUAUCUAAGGUUUCCUGAGGAAGGCUCGUCCGCUCAGGGUUAGUCGGGACCUAAGCCGAGGCCGAUAGGCGUAGGCGAUGGACAACAGGUAGAGAUUCCUGUACCAGUGCUAAUUGUUUAACCGAUGGGGUGACACAGAAGGAUAGGGAAUCGCACGAAUGGAAAUGUGCGUCCAAGCAGUGAGUGUGAGAAGUAGGCAAAUCCGCUUCUCGCGAAGCAUGAGCUGUGAUGGGGAAGGAAAUUAAGUACGGAAGUUCCUGAUUUCACGCUGUCAAGAAAAGCCUCUAGGAAGAGUAGUACUGCCCGUACCGCAAACCGACACAGGUAGAUGAGGAGAGAAUCCUAAGGUGAGCGAGAGAACUCUCGUUAAGGAACUCGGCAAAAUGACCCCGUAACUUCGGGAGAAGGGGUGCUCUAUUAGGGUGCAAGCCCGAGAGAGCCGCAGUGAAUAGGCCCAGGCGACUGUUUAGCAAAAACACAGGUCUCUGCAAAACCGUAAGGUGACGUAUAGGGGCUGACGCCUGCCCGGUGCUGGAAGGUUAAGAGGAGUGCUUAGCUUCGGCGAAGGUACGAAUUGAAGCCCCAGUAAACGGCGGCCGUAACUAUAACGGUCCUAAGGUAGCGAAAUUCCUUGUCGGGUAAGUUCCGACCCGCACGAAAGGCGCAACGAUCUGGGCACUGUCUCAACGAGAGACUCGGUGAAAUUAUAGUACCUGUGAAGAUGCAGGUUACCCGCGACAGGACGGAAAGACCCCGUGGAGCUUUACUGCAACCUGAUAUGGAAUGUUUGUACCGCUUGUACAGGAUAGGUAGGAGCCGAAGAGACGUGUGCGCUAGCAUACGAGGAGGCAAUGGUGGGAUACUACCCUGGCUGUAUGACCAUUCUAACCCGCCACGCUUAGCGCGUGGGGAGACAGUGUCAGGUGGGCAGUUUGACUGGGGCGGUCGCCUCCUAAAGAGUAACGGAGGCGCCCAAAGGUUCCCUCAGAAUGGAUGGAAAUCAUUCGCAGAGUGUAAAGGCACAAGGGAGCUUGACUGCGAGACUGACAAGUCGAGCAGGGACGAAAGUCGGGCUUAGUGAUCCGGUGGUUCCGCAUGGAAGGGCCAUCGCUCAACGGAUAAAAGCUACCCCGGGGAUAACAGGCUUAUCUCCCCCAAGAGUCCACAUCGACGGGGAGGUUUGGCACCUCGAUGUCGGCUCGUCGCAUCCUGGGGCUGUAGUCGGUCCCAAGGGUUGGGCUGUUCGCCCAUUAAAGCGGCACGCGAGCUGGGUUCAGAACGUCGUGAGACAGUUCGGUCCCUAUCCGUCGCGGGCGCAGGAAAUUUGAGAGGAGCUGUCCUUAGUACGAGAGGACCGGGAUGGACACACCGCUGGUGUACCAGUUGUUCCGCCAGGAGCAUCGCUGGGUAGCUAUGUGUGGCAGGGAUAAACGCUGAAAGCAUCUAAGCGUGAAGCCCCCCUCAAGAUGAGAUUUCCCAUU